This is a small nuclear RNA of Vulpes vulpes (red fox), 99 nucleotides long. The record is from Ensembl. NCBI's taxonomy places the organism in Eukaryota, Metazoa, Chordata, Mammalia, Carnivora, Canidae.
GUGCUCCCUUUAGGCAGCACGUAGACUAAAAUUGGAAAAAUACAGAGAAGAUCCCUGUGCAAGGAGGACAUGAAAAUCCACGAAGCGUUCCAUAUUUUU